RNAcentral lists this long non-coding RNA (551 nucleotides) under Olea europaea subsp. europaea. The record is from RNAcentral. Lineage: Eukaryota; Viridiplantae; Streptophyta; Magnoliopsida; Lamiales; Oleaceae.
UAAACUAGUAAAUUAACAUUUUCUAUAAUAUAACAAUUCAAAUAAUUAUAUCAAAAAAGAAUAAAAGAAAAAGAACUUCAUCUUCUCCAAAUACCGGACCUCGAACCCAGAACCAGUCACUUCCGACAUCACCACCAAUCCACACGUCGUCGUACCGCCCAACCAUCACCGCCUCCGCUACCUAAUAUUAUCGCACGGUACCAACCGCCGCCGCCAGAAACCAAAAACAAAUUAACUUUAUCUUUGGGAUUCACUACUGAUCCACUGCAACUAGAUAUCGAAUUCAAACCACAAGAUCCAUUAGCUCAGGAAAAAAUAAGGAAAAAUCAUCAUAACCCCUUUGUAUUCAAUAGGUCAAUCUCCUCGAAGGGAAAUUAACUGAAUAGAUGGUGAUAAAUGUCAUUUUGAGCCCCAUUUUUGGGAAGUGAUAAAUUUCGAGCGCUUGCAAUUACCAAACAAAGAUUGUUGUUGGUUUAUGUGUGCAACGUAGGGAAGAAUUUUUCUGGUUCUUCUUCUAUGUCUACUUUCUGGGAUUCCAAGUAAAGGGAUUU